RNAcentral lists this ribosomal RNA (891 nucleotides) under uncultured Gammaproteobacteria bacterium. Its description in RNAcentral is "bacterial SSU rRNA". It matches the Rfam family "Bacterial small subunit ribosomal RNA", at positions 8 to 886 of the family's 1533-position model. The record is from RNAcentral. Lineage: Bacteria; Pseudomonadati; Pseudomonadota; Gammaproteobacteria.
AGGGUUUGAUCCUGGCUCAGAUUGAACGCUGGCGGCAGGCUUAACACAUGCAAGUCGAACGGUAACAGAGAAUAGCUUGCUAUUUUGCUGACGAGUGGCGGACGGGUGAGUAAUGCUUGGGAAUUUGCCUUGUUGUGGGGGACAACAGUUGGAAACGACUGCUAAUACCGCAUAAUGUCUUCGGACCAAAGGUGGCCUCUAUUUAUAUGCUAUCGCAACAAGAUGAGCCCAAGUGGGAUUAGCUAGUUGGUAAGGUAAUGGCUUACCAAGGCGACGAUCCCUAGCUGGUCUUAGAGGAUGACCAGCCACACUGGAACUGAGACACGGUCCAGACUCCUACGGGAGGCAGCAGUGGGGAAUAUUGCACAAUGGAGGAAACUCUGAUGCAGCCAUGCCGCGUGUGUGAAGAAGGCUUUCGGGUUGUAAAGCACUUUCAGCGAGGAGGAAAGGGUGUUACUUAAUACGUAACAUCUGUGACGUUACUCGCAGAAGAAGCACCGGCUAACUCCGUGCCAGCAGCCGCGGUAAUACGGAGGGUGCAAGCGUUAAUCGGAAUUACUGGGCGUAAAGCGCGCGUAGGUGGUUAAUCAAGUCAGAUGUGAAAGCCCAGGGCUCAACCUUGGAACUGCAUUUGAAACUGGUUGACUAGAGUUUUGUAGAGGGUGGUAGAAUUUCAGGUGUAGCGGUGAAAUGCGUAGAGAUCUGAAGGAAUACCAGUGGCGAAGGCGGCCACCUGGACAAAGACUGACACUGAGGCGCGAAGGCGUGGGGAGCAAACGGGAUUAGAUACCCCGGUAGUCCACGCAGUAAACGAUGUCUAUUAGAAGUUUGUGGCUAUAUGCCGUGGGUUUCAAAGCUAACGCAUUAAAUAGACCGCCUGGGGAGUACGGG